CCUACGGGAGGCAGCAGUAGGGAAUCUUCCACAAUGGGCGAAAGCCUGAUGGAGCAACGCCGCGUGUGUGAUGAAGGCUUUCGGGUCGUAAAGCACUGUUGUAUGGGAAGAACAGCUAGAAUAGGAAAUGAUUUNAGUUUGACGUACCAUACCAGAAAGGACG
Molecule: ribosomal RNA, 163 nt
Filed under: Leuconostoc mesenteroides
Lineage: Bacteria; Bacillati; Bacillota; Bacilli; Lactobacillales; Lactobacillaceae
Description: partial 16S ribosomal RNA
Rfam family: Bacterial small subunit ribosomal RNA
Source: RNAcentral